This is a long non-coding RNA of Cucumis sativus (cucumber), 547 nucleotides long. RefSeq lists it as uncharacterized. The record is from RefSeq and is a predicted model, not a curated record. NCBI's taxonomy places the organism in Eukaryota, Viridiplantae, Streptophyta, Magnoliopsida, Cucurbitales, Cucurbitaceae. The transcript has 2 exons.
UAGUUUUUUUUUUGUUUUUUUGUUUCAUAUAUAAAAUGUAUUGUUGUUGGAUAAAAAAAUUGAAGGUGACUUUAAACUUGUGACUACAUAUGUGCCUUUAAUUUUGUAUAGUGUUGUGUUGCUAUACAAGAUUUGAUUUUCAAUAUUCUAAUGUGAAAAUAUUUUUUUUAUUGAUGUAACAGAAGAAUAUAGCAGUAGUAAUAGUUCGUUGAUGCAGCCAGCGACAUUUCUGAUCCUAAGUUGGGACUUCCAAAUCUAUCUUAUCAGUGAACCACAUGUGGUGCUAGCUCUCUAAAGUUUUGUGGAGGGCUUGAAAAACCUCGAGGUAUGUUCUCUUAUAUCAUUUUUUGGUGUUUUUGAGUUCUAUCUUAUUUCUUCAUGUGAUAAAUGUUUUUUGUUGUAUAAUGCAAGUGACAUUUCAAACUUCAAUUACAGUUCAAUCUUGUAUUUUUACCUUGGUUUCUUUUAAAAAUUUCAUUUGUAUGCUUAUUAAGAGGGUGAAACCUGUUUGACAUGGACUUAAUGAAUGUUAAUUAAAGUUGAAGAA